RNAcentral lists this long non-coding RNA (555 nucleotides) under Ananas comosus (pineapple). Its description in RNAcentral is "long non-coding RNA (ACOM_LNC040999)". The record is from RNAcentral. Lineage: Eukaryota; Viridiplantae; Streptophyta; Magnoliopsida; Poales; Bromeliaceae.
GAGGGGCUUUGCCCCGCGUCCGUGACGCUUAGUUUUUAGAGAAUAACGAUUGUUUCGUAUAAUUUAAUAUUAUAUCAGAGCAGAAAAUUCUGAGUUCGAGCCACACCAGCCUCCUAACAUUAUUAAUUUCCUUCCAUUUCAAGUCCACGUCAUAGGCCAGCGAAAAGCUUCGAGUCCGAACUUUUCUUCAGCUUUUAGGCCCCGUUUGGUUCGGGGGAUGAGCGGGGAUAACGAAAGUUAUCCUCGCUAUUCCGCCAAACAAGAUGAAUUUUGGCAAGAAUAUUUUAUCCCAGUCAAGGCUUGCUAUUCCCGACUAUUCCGAAAUAGUUUGAGAUUUGCUAUUCCACGCUAUUCCAAUGCUUAAUUUCAAACUUAAUUAAAAUUAUAAAUUUAAUUAAAACUAAAUUAUAUAAAUAUAAUAUGUUAUAUACUAUAAAACAUUAUUUUUAUUAUAAAAUUAUUAAUUGUACUAUAUUAAUACAUAUUAUUUAUAUUUAAAUAUUAUAAUAAAUUAUAUUUAAAUAUUAAAAUAAAUUAAAAUUUAAAAUUUAAANC